RNAcentral lists this ribosomal RNA (489 nucleotides) under uncultured bacterium. RNAcentral's name for it is "partial 16S ribosomal RNA". It matches the Rfam family "Bacterial small subunit ribosomal RNA", at positions 29 to 506 of the family's 1533-position model. The record is from RNAcentral.
AUUGAGCGCUGGCGGCAGGCCUAACACAUGCAAGUCGAACGGUAACAGGAAGCAGCUUGCUGCUUUGCUGACGAGUGGCGGACGGGUGAGUAAUGUCUGGGAAACUGCCCGAUGGAGGGGGAUAACUACUGGAAACGGUAGCUAAUACCGCAUAACGUCGCAAGACCAAAGAGGGGGACCUUAGGGCCUCUUGCCAUCGGAUGUGCCCAGAUGGGAUUAGCUAGUAGGUGGGGUAACGGCUCACCUAGGCGACGAUCCCUAGCUGGUCUGAGAGGAUGACCAGCCACACUGGAACUGAGACACGGUCCAGACGCCUACGGGAGGCAGCAGUGGGGAAUAUUGCACAAUGGGCGCAAGCCUGAUGCAGCCAUGCCGCGUGUAUGAAGAAGGCCUGCGGGUGGUAAAGUACUUUCAGCGGGGAGGAAGGGAGUAAAGUUAAUACCUUUGCUCAUGGAGGUAACCCGCAGAAGAAGCACCGGCAAACUCCGU